AGAACGAACGCUGGCGGCAUGCCUAAUACAUGCAAGUCGAACGAACUCUUCGGAGUUAGUGGCGCACGGGUGCGUAACGCGUGGGAAUCUGCCCCUUGGUUCGGAAUAACAGUUGGAAACGACUGCUAAUACCGGAUGAUGACGAAAGUCCAAAGAUUUAUCGCCAAGGGACGGCCCGCGUAGGAUUAGCUAGUUGGUGAGGUAAAGGCUCACCAAGGCGACGAUCUGUAGCUGGUUUGAGAGGACGACCAGCCACACUGGGACUGAGACACGGCCCAGACUCCUACGGGAGGCAGCAGUGGGGAAUUUUGGACAAUGGGGAAACCCUGAUCCAGCCAAUCCCG
Molecule: ribosomal RNA, 344 nt
Filed under: uncultured soil bacterium
Lineage: Bacteria
Description: bacterial SSU rRNA
Rfam family: Bacterial small subunit ribosomal RNA
Source: RNAcentral